Molecule: ribosomal RNA, 250 nt
Filed under: uncultured bacterium
Lineage: Bacteria
Description: partial 16S ribosomal RNA
Rfam family: Bacterial small subunit ribosomal RNA
Source: RNAcentral
UGCCUACGGGGCGCAGCAGUAGGGAAUCUUCCACAAUGGACGAAAGUCUGAUGGAGCAACGCCGCGUGAGUGAAGAAGGGUUUGGGCUCGUCAAGCUUUGUUGGUAGUGAAGAAAGAUAGAGGUAGUAACUGGCCUUUAUUUGACGGUAAUUACUUAGAAAGUCACGGCUAACUACGUGCCAGCAGCCGCGGUAAUACGUAGGUGGCAAGCGUUGUCCGGAUUUAUUGGGCGUAAAGCGAGUGCAGGCGG